RNAcentral lists this ribosomal RNA (392 nucleotides) under uncultured Gammaproteobacteria bacterium. RNAcentral's name for it is "bacterial SSU rRNA". It matches the Rfam family "Bacterial small subunit ribosomal RNA", at positions 370 to 779 of the family's 1533-position model. The record is from RNAcentral. Lineage: Bacteria; Pseudomonadati; Pseudomonadota; Gammaproteobacteria.
AAUGGAGGAAACUCUGAUGCAGCGAUGCCGCGUGAGUGAAGAAGGCCUUUGGGUUGUAAAGCUCUUUCGUCGGGGAAGAAAAUGACUGUACCCGAAUAAGAAGGUCCGGCUAACUUCGUGCCAGCAGCCGCGGUAAUACGAAGGGACCUAGCGUAGUUCGGAAUUACUGGGCUUAAAGAGUUCGUAGGUGGUUGAAAAAGUUGGUGGUGAAAUCCCAGAGCUUAACUCUGGAACUGCCAUCAAAACUUUUCAGCUAGAGUAUGAUAGAGGAAAGCAGAAUCUCUAGUGUAGAGGUGAAAUUCGUAGAUAUUAGAAAGAAUACCAAUUGCGAAGGCAGCUUUCUGGAUCAUUACUGACACUGAGGAACGAAAGCAUGGGUAGCGAAGAGGAUU